RNAcentral lists this long non-coding RNA (8573 nucleotides) under Solanum tuberosum (potato). Its description in RNAcentral is "long non-coding RNA (STUB_LNC010542)". Lineage: Eukaryota; Viridiplantae; Streptophyta; Magnoliopsida; Solanales; Solanaceae. The record is from RNAcentral.
CCUCAGUACUGCAUGAUAUAUGAUAUGUUGGGAUAUUUAACCAUCAAUAUGUAGGAUGCUGGCUAUAAGCCUAAACUUGAACUAAUAGAAGAGUGGAUCUAUGGGCUAGAAGAAUAAAAAACUAUUAGUUCUCCCACUAUGUUGUUGUUCUCGGACUAUGUAGCUUUGUAUUCAUGAUAUUUUUGGACAGGAUUUUGCUAGAGUUAAUAUGAUCGUAGUUUAUCAAUGACCAGCUGCCUUUGAAAUUCGAGGUAAUUAAGUUGUGUUUUAGCUUUUUUUAGUUUAGUUUUUUCUUCUGAAUUAUGCUUUUUUACUUUGUAAAGAUACUCAGAAGUAGGAUAUUCAGUUAGUGAAAUAUAUGUAUAAUUCUUUAUUACNNNNNNNNNNNNNNNNNNNNNNNNNNNNNNNNNNNNNNNNNNNNNNNNNUCAAGAAUAUCCAUUUUACCUUUUUGGUGGGAAACGAGGAGUCCCAGAUCGCAAAAGAAGGGUCUUAUCCAAAAUGACAACUUCUAUCAAGCUGUCUGAUUGACUGAAGCACAUGUAAAUUAGGUGACCAGUUCUUUCCUUUGAAUAACUUAUACUUGUCCUGCAGGUCGACUUUUAAACUGUUGUAUUAAGGAUUUUCUUUGAUAUAGUGUUUGCAAGUUCAUGCGUGUUUUUAUAUUGGAGCCAAAUGGCAUUAAUAACACUUGUUAAGGUUGGUCCAGAUAACUAUUAAUAUGUCUGCUAAGGUUGGUUCAAUCAGUGGGAUAUUAUAGUUCAUCUUUCAAUAGCAUGAUUUCACUAUAUAGACCCUUUUGUUGUGUAUUUUUCAUCUUGGCUUAUCAAACCUCUAAGAAGUACUUAGGAAAUCAUUAAGAACCCCUAAUAGUUUAGCAACCUCCUCAAUUUCACAAUCAUUCAAUGCGCUCCUAAAAAGUAGAUUCCAACCGUGUUGACUCCAGGCUUGUUCCACAGUGUCAUUGUUCUGCAUACUCAAUGUAUAUAGAAGAGGGAAUAGGUUUCUAAAACUGUCUUCUUCUAUCUAUCUUUCAUUCAAGAACUCUGUCUUCCGUCCAUCCCCAACACCUAAUACAUAUGUUGUUUUUGAAAUGUGGCCAUAGUCUUCUAAUGGUCUUCCAAACACUGCAUCCAAAUGUGCCCAUCACCUCUUCAGUUGUCCAUUGGUUAAAUAAACCAUACUUUCCUGAUAUAAAUCUCUUCUAUAAGGCUCUAUAUUCUAUACAGAAUGUCCAUAGCCACUUUUGGAGUAAACUACUGUUUUAGAGACUUAGGUCCUUCAACCCUAGCCUCCUUGGUUUUUGCUAAGUGUGAGAGUAUCCCACUUCACCAAGUUGUAGCCUUCCCUUUCCUUAUUGCCUUGCCAAAGAAAAGAUAUCCUGAGCCUAUUUAUUUUCUUCUCAAUGUUCUUGGGGACUGGAAAUAAACUCAUCAUAUAAGUAGGUGAUUCAUCUAAUACUGUCUUGAUGAGGGUCACCCUACCACCUAUGGACAAAUACUAGCUUCUUCACCGGGCUUAUUUUCUCCCACAUCUCUCCAACACCACAUUGCACACUUCCAGCUCUUUGUUCUUAGCACCCAAAGGUAGUUCCAGAUAUUUUGUUGGUUGUGCAUCUACCUAGCAACUCAAUGUCUCAACUAGCCCAAGAAAAUUGUCAACUUGCUUGAUAUGGAGGAGAUGACUCUUCAGCCAAUUGACAUGGAGGCUUGAAAUGCUCUGCUAAAUAGUGAGUAUUGCCCUUAUGUGUCUAAUUUGUUCCUCCUUUGCCUCAUAGAAUAUAAGAGCAUCAUCAACAUAGAAUAAAUGUGUUAUCUGCAGCUCCUUCCCUCUCCCAGAAAGUGCACUAAAUCCUCUCCAACCCAUUACUCUUUGCCUUCCGGAACAUGUGAUUCAACCCCUUCAUGGCUAUUAAGAAUAGGAAUAGGGACAUAGGAUCUCCCUGUCUAAGACCUCUCUGAGAUUGGAAGAAUCCUUCAGUGUUUCCAUUUAUGAGGAGGGAAAACUUCACACUUGAAAUGCAGUUAUUGAUCCAGCCAAUCCACUUGCUACCAAAUCCCAUGUCCUUUAGUUUUUUUAGAAGGAAAUUCCAAUUAACAUGUUCAUAGGUUUUCUCAAUGUCUAGCUUGCAUAGAAUCCUAGGUUUUUUCUGCCUUACCUUGGAGUUGACCAUUUCAUUAGCCAACAAUGCUGCAUCCAUUAUUUGCCUACAUCUUAAAAAAGACAUUUGGUGUUCAUCAACCAAUUUCACUAUCACUGUCUUCAUUCUCUCAGAUAGCAACUUGGAGUUGAUUUUAUUGACUACUCCUAUCAAACUGAUAGGUCUAAAGUCUUUUAGCUCAAUUGCAUCAGGUUUCUUUGGGAUUGAAGGGAUCAAUAUAGCAUUAAAUGAUUUCUCAAACGCACUCCUUUGAUGGAAAUUUUUUGUGCUCAACAUUCAGUUCUCUUUCAAAAUAUCCCAACAUUUCUUAAAGAAAUCCAUAGUGAAGUCAUCAGGGUCUGGUGCUUUGUCCCCGUCAUACUGGUUGAUGAUCAAUAACACUUCCUCUUCUGUAAAUGGUCUUUGUAACCAUUCAUUUUCUUCUAUAGACUGUUGGACAUCCUACAAAAUGAAAAGAGGGUCUCUAGGAUUCAAGUUCCGAGUAGAGUCUGGCAUUUAAUUCAUAUGACAUGGCUAUAAAAUAGGUUGCUUUAGUGGUUCCAAAUCCCACAAUGUUAUGUGUUGAGCCAUCAACUACCAUUACUUGAGAGGGUUCUUUGUGUGAUCGAAAGGUAGAAAAUAUAUUAGGAUUACGUGUCAUGUAAUUACUAGUACCUGUAUCAAUCACCCAGUUGUUCAAAGAGGAGAUCGCAUAUGCUUUUCUUGAAUCAACAAGGGUAGUAACUGAAGUGAAUUCUUUAAGGGAUUCUUGAUACUAAGAGGACUCGCAAACUCAUUCGCCGAAACCAAAAUUGUCUUACCCUAAUAAUUUAUAUUUAUUUGAGUUAUAGUUUCAACUCAAAAUAUUAAUAUAGGAGAAGCUAACAAACACAAACAAUACCAACAUAUACAAUCCAGUACUGAAAAGGCAAUUUGUUAAUAUCAAGACAUGCAAAAUUUUAUGGCAAAAUUUUAUGGGAUUAAGUCCAUAUAAAAUUUGAACGAAUUUAUAAAUUCAAGACAUAUUGACCUAAGUGAACAUUUUGGGUUAAUACAGCCAAAUUAAUUAUUUAAGUCAAGAUUGCAUGACUUAAGUCAAACCCAACUACAUUGGGCUAGGUUGGGCUUCUACAAAAUGGUCCACCCACAUGUUUUAAGACCAAGGGUCCAUUAGGAUUACUUGGAGACUACCGUAAAACCUUUCAUUCAUGCCUAUAUAAAAUAAAAAGGCUACAUAUUCUCUUUGGAGGCAUCUUGAAAAUUCUAUAACAUCUUGGCAGAUUCUAAGAUGGGAUUGGACAAAGACAAGAGAGUGCUCAACUGGAACAACGGCCAACAAAGACCAAUUACUUAGAUAACGAUUCUUCCCCUUCUCCUUUAAGGCUUUAAGGCGAACUGUAUGGAUGUAGGAAAGAAAGACGUCCUCACCUUCUCUAGUGUUAGUGAGAGCAAUUUGAGUAUCCUUCAUGCACCUCCUUUCGUAGAUAGAAUCUUAAUGAGUGGAAACAAGCAACCUUACUAAGAAAGGUGCUUUUUGAGUAAGGCCCACUUUCAAGCCAACCCUUGGUAUAGGUUGGGAACUUGAGCGCAUGAUUGGUCCAUUGAAGAUUGUACAAGCCCAACGCAGGCAUGCAUACACUUAUAUCAUGAUCAUGUCAAUGCCAUCAACAAGCCAAAUAUCAUUUAUUUGUUCUAUUAAGUACUUCUUUCACGUCAUUAGCUUUAAAAAAUUGUCUCCCUUUACUGGUUCACCUCGAUGAAAAACUUAAGAAUUGCCUAGCUUCAGAAGGUCAUCAAUAAUAUUUGAUUCCAAGAAAUUAGCAACCAAUUCACCCAAAAAAAUAAUUGUAGUCGAUAGUCAAAUACCAGAUUUAUUUGACAUCAAGAACAAGCAUCCACAAAAAACUAUUAAUUCAAUAUUGAGCAAAACUCCGCAAAUCACGACAACACCAAACUGAAACAAGAUCUAAAUCUCUGAAGGAGAGACUAGCAUACUAGAACAUUAAUUGUCCCGAACAACAUGUUUUCGCCCUAGUCUAUUUCCAUUAUUAUGUAUUGCCAGCUUGGAAAGGGAUCUUCACGUGAUAUUCAAUUAGAGGAAAUACGUGUAAGCACCGUUUGUCUUAGCAACAAGUUACUCAAAAAUAUCUCUAGAACUAAAGUUUUUAUGAAGACCAAAUACACCUAUGAGAUAUAUGAAGAUGUACUCUAUCCACCUAAAAAUAUAAUAAGAUAUGAGAUGUUUAGAAGCACACCAACGUGGUGAUUGAGAAAUAAGAAAUUUUGAAAUUCCAUUUUAGUAAAAAUGUAAGUAGUGCAAUCAAAUACAAGAAAUGAUAUAAACAUCAAUUCAGAUUAUUAAUGUCGUCUUCAAGAACUGUACUGGACACUGACCUGUGUUCCUGUUCUGUCCAAGAAGCCCCUUUUCGCCAUUCUACAUCUACAAAAAAUGAUAUAAACAUCAAUUCAAAGUAUUAACUCUGGUUUUGCAUUUCAGGAUAAUUAGAUAAUGUACAUAUCCAGACUCGAUGAUAUUGGUAUCUUCAAUUAAUACAUUACAAUGAUCCUUAAUAACAUCCGUCAAUUUCCCAAGAAGUGCUUUUGCCACUUCCUCCAAUAGAUUGUUGUUAUCCUUGUUGAUCGCAAAAGUAUUCUCAAAGAUUUUAUUCUCCUCCUUAGUCCAGAAGGAGUUAUUGCAUGUUCGAUCAGUGUUCAUUUUCUUUUAGAUCUACAAGGUUAGCUCAAACAUGAAAAAGGUAAGCUCUUCAAGAGGAUUCAAAAAACGGAUAAGUGUCAAUAUAUAACCAAAAUUUAUCAUAACUAUCGGGCAUCUAAAAUAAGAUUUUUUGUAACCCCUGACACUUAGAAAUCAGAAACAAUCUCAACAACACACAAUCUUCUAAAUCAGUUAUGGAUACUAAGAGAGACUAUUUCUGACACACACUUGGCUCAAGUUACUUUUCUUAGUAUCCAUAACUGAUUUAAAAGAAUGUGUGUUGCCGCGAUUGUUUUUGAUUACUAAGUGAUAGAGGUUACAAAAAAUCUUAUUUUAGAUGCCCGAUAUUUAUGGUAGUUUUUGGUUAUAUAUUGACACUCCUCCGUUUUCUUAAUCCUCUUGAAGAGCUUUAUCUUUUUCAUGUUAAAGCUUUCGUUGUUGAUCUAAAAGAAAAUGAACACCGAUCGGACAUGCAAUAACUCCUUCUAGACUAAGGAGGAGGAUAAAAUCUUUGAGAAUACUCUUGCGAUCAACGAAGAUAACAACAAUCUAUUGGAGGAAAUGGCAAAAGCACUUCUUGGGAAAUUGACGGAUGAUAUUAAGGAUCACUAUAAUAUCUUAAUUGAAGAUACCAAUGCCAUCGAGUCUGGAUAUGUCCCAUUACCUAAUUAUUCUGAAAUGCAAAACCAGAAUUCAAAAGCAUAUGUAGAAUGGUGAAAUGGGGCUUCUUGGACCAAAUAGGAACACAUGUCAGUUUGCAGUACAGUUCUUGAGGACGACAUUAAUAAUCUGAAUUGAUGUUCAUAUCAUUUCUUGUAUUUGAUUAGACGUCUUACAUUUUUACUAAAACGGAAUUUCAAAAUUUCUUAUUUUUCAAUGACCACGUUGGUGUGCUUCUAAACAUCUCAUAUAUUAUUAUAUUUCUAGGUGGAUAAAGUACAUCUUCAUAUAUUUCAUAGGUGUAUUUGGUCUUAACUGCAUCACCAAUAUAAUACAAAGUAUUAAUUCCAACUUCUGAGUUCCACAAUAUUUUCAGAUUAAAUAUGUAGGUUUUUACUUUUUAAAAUUGUCAAUGGUUAGGCUUGCUUUCAUGAGAAGUGGAUGAGUAUUUGUAAGAUAAUAAUUUUGAAGUGGAUGAGUAUUUGUAAGACCAAACCAUUGUCUCACAGGCUCCAUCUUUGAGUUUAACCCAUCUCCCAAAUUAAUCUUCCCUACUCCUCACCGACCAACAAUGCACUUUCACAGAGCCAAAACCCAGAACAAUUCGCUUUCGUUUAACCCCAUCUCGCCCGCCAACUGUUCGAUACAAUUCCUCAACCAACAAUUGUCCUUUUGGAACACAAUUAUCAUUGGGUUUAUCUGUAAUAACAUGCCCCAUGAAGCAAUUUCAUUCUAUUUCGAUUGAAACAUGUGGGUUCAUCCGUAUGUGAUCAGUAUACUUAUUCCUCUGUUAUCAAGGCUUGCGCGGAGACCAAACGGAUUCUUGUAGGUAAUGCUGUGCAUUGCCACAUUCUGAGUUCUGGGAUUCGUCCUAGUAGGAUUGUUAGUAAUUCUUUGUUGAAUAUGUACUCUGCUACUUGUCUUACAUUGGAUAAUGGUUCUGAUUGUGAUUUUGUUGAAAGGGUGUUUAGAACUAUGCGUAAAAGAAUGUUGUUGGGUGGAAUACUAUUUUUUCUUGGUAUAUGAAAAGGAAGAGGUUUUCGGAAGCAGUGAGGUGCUUUGUUAUGAUGAUGAGAUUAGGCAUUAAGCCAACUGUUGUUAAUUUUACUAAUGUUUUUCCUGCUGUAUCAGAAACAGGGGAUGUUAGAGUUACUGAUUUUCUUAAUGGAUUGCUUGUGAAAUUGGGUAAUGCAUAUGUAAAUGACCUGUUUGUUGUUAGUGCUGCUAUUGUUAUGUAAGCUGAGCUUGGCUGUGUUGAUUUGGCGACCAGAAUAUUUGAGAAUACUUGUGAAACAAAUACAGAGAUCUGGAACUCAUGAUUAGCGGGUACAUUCAGAACAAUUUUCCUUUUAAAGCAGUUGAUCUCUUUCUUGAAGCUGUAGAAGCAGAGGAUGCUGUUACUACUGAUGAUGUGACAUUUGUAUCUGCUCUUAUGGCAACUUCACAGUUGCAGCAUUUUGAGUUUGCCCAACAGCUACAUGCAUGUCUGAUAAUGAAAUGCAGGGAUUCACAGGUUAUUUCGUUUAAUGCUAUGAUAGCCACAUAUUCUAGGUGUAACCAUAUUGGCAAUUCACUUUAAGUUUUUAAUGGAAUGAAGGAAAGAUAUAUUGUGUCAUGGAACACCGUGGUGUCUGCUUGGUACAGAACGAACUGGAUAACGAGGCUUUGAUGCUUGUAUAUGAGAUGAAAAAGCUAUGGGGUUGCAAUUGAUGAUAUAACAAUUACCAUCCUGCUUUCUGCGGCAUCAAAUCUUAGGGACAGGGAAAUUGGUAAACAGACCCAUGCUUAUCUUCUGAGGCACAAUUUUCAAUUUGAAGGGAUGGAGAGUUACCUGAUAGUCAUGUAUGCCAAAUCUAAUAUGAUUAGAGAAGAACGAGCAAUAUUCCAGUUGAACUUCACAUAUGAUAAAGAUCAAGCCACGUGGAAUGCUGUGAUUGCUGGAAACACUCAGAAUGGAUUAAUUGAACAAUCCUUUGUUGUCUUCAAGGAGAUGCUUGAGCAGAAUGUGAAGCCAAAUGCUGUGACCUUAGCAACAAUCCUCCCAUCAUGCAGCCAGUCAGGAAGUAUAGCAAUAGGCAAGCAGCUACAUUAUUUUGCAAUUCGCUAAUUGUUUGAGGACAAUGUUUAUGUUGUUUCUGCUUUGGUAGACAUGUAUUCAAAAUCAGGAAUCAUUGAUUAUGCUGAAAGUGUUUUCUAAAAUCUCCUGAGAAGAACUCUGUGACAUAUACAAAUAUGAGUUUGGGAUAUGGCCUUCAUGGGAUGCGUAGGAAAGCUCUAAAACUGUUCUACUCUUUGCGGCAGAAUGGUUUAGAACCAGAUGCUGUUACCUUUGUGGCAGUCCUGUCUACUUGCAGCUACACCGGAUUGGUUGAUUAAGGCCUUCAAAUAUUUGAGCUGAUGGGUGAAGAAUAAGGGAUUCAGCCGUCAGCAGAGCACUAUGCUUGUGUGGUUGACAUGUUAGGAAGAGUUGGACGGUUGGAUGAAGCUCAUAAUUUUGCUAAACAGUUGGGUGUUGAGGGUAAUAACUUGGGAAUAUGGGGAUCACUCCUUGCAGCCUGCAGAGUGCAUAGAAAUUUUGAAUUGGGGAAAAUUGUUUCCAGUUAGCUGCUUGAAUUCGAGGGGAAUGAUGGAAUUUCUGGUUAUCAUGUUCUGCUUUCAAAUAUAUAUAUGCAGAGGAAGGAAACUGGCAGUCUGUAGAUAACGUCAGAAGAGGAAUGCGCAAAAUGGGAUUGUCAAAGGAGGUUGGGUGUAGUUGGAUUGAUACUUCUGGAUAUCCACACUGUUUUGUAUCUAAAGAUAAGAAGCUUCCUCAGUACUGCAUGAUAUAUGAUAUGUUGGGAUAUUUAACCAUCAAUAUGUAGGAUGCUGGCUAUAAACCUAAACUUGAACUAAUAGAAGAGUGGAUCUAUGGGCUAGAAGAAUGAAAAGCUAUUAGUUCUCCCACAAUGUUGUUGUUCUCCGACUAUGUACCUUUGUAUUCAUGACAUUUUUGGACAGGAUUUUGCUAGAGUUAAUAUGAUCGUAGUUUAUCAGUGACCAGCUGCCUUUGAAAUUCGAGG